RNAcentral lists this transfer RNA (75 nucleotides) under Ictidomys tridecemlineatus (thirteen-lined ground squirrel). RNAcentral describes it as "Spermophilus tridecemlineatus (thirteen-lined ground squirrel) tRNA". It matches the Rfam family "tRNA". Rfam says of the family: Transfer RNA (tRNA) molecules are approximately 80 nucleotides in length. Lineage: Eukaryota; Metazoa; Chordata; Mammalia; Rodentia; Sciuridae. The record is from Rfam by way of RNAcentral.
GUUAAGAUAGCAGGGCCCAGCAAUUGUGUAAGACUUAAAACUUUAUAAUCAGAGGUUCAACUCCUCUUCUUAACA